GACGAACGCUGGCGGCGUGCUUAACACAUGCAAGUCGAACGGAAAGGCCUCUUUCGGGGGGUACUCGAGUGGCGAACGGGUGAGUAACACGUGAGUAACCUGCCCUUGACUUUGGGAUAACUUCAGGAAACUGGGGCUAAUACCGGAUAGGAGCUCCUGCUGCAUGGGGGGGGUUGGAAAGAUUCGGCGGUUGGGGAUGGACUCGCGGCUUAUCAGCUUGUUGGUGGGGUAGUGGCUUACCAAGGCUUUGACGGGUAGCCGGCCUGAGAGGGUGACCGGCCCCAAUGGGGCUGAGGUACGGCCCAGACUGCUACGGGAGGCAGCAGUGGGGAAUAUUGCACAAUGGGUGGAAGCCUGAUGCAGCAACGCCGUGUGCGGGAAGACGGCCUUCGGGUUGUAAACCGCUUUCGCUCAUGACGGAGCUUUGUGUGACGGUAGUGGGUAAAGAAGCACCGGCUAACUACGUG
This 467-nucleotide ribosomal RNA is filed under the name uncultured bacterium. RNAcentral describes it as "partial 16S ribosomal RNA". It matches the Rfam family "Bacterial small subunit ribosomal RNA", at positions 28 to 507 of the family's 1533-position model. The record is from RNAcentral.